Molecule: small nuclear RNA, 121 nt
Organism: Vulpes vulpes (red fox)
Lineage: Eukaryota; Metazoa; Chordata; Mammalia; Carnivora; Canidae
Gene: U4
Rfam family: U4 spliceosomal RNA
About the family: U4 small nuclear RNA (U4 snRNA) is a component of the major U2-dependent spliceosome. The structure of U4 snRNA from yeast and human has been reported.
Source: Ensembl
AUCAUGCAGUGGUGGUAUCACAGCCAAUGAGGUUUACCCAAGGCACAAUUAUUGCUAGUUGAAAACUUACUCCACCAUGAUGACUUGAAAUAUGAUAUAUUUUGGAUGGGUCUAGAAAAUC